GCGUGUGUGGAAUGGGAGGAGGUCGCGCUGUCCAUGGGCGUCCUUGGCCUGCGCCACCCAGAGAUGAUAAAUAGCCAAAGACGUCAAUGGCACCCAUGGACAUAGUAAGCAUAGUAGGAGCUGAAAAACUAGAAGCAAUGACAAUGUCAACUAUUUUGAGCAAAAAGAAGCAGUGUCUUCGGAACAUUUGAUCAUAAAACCAGAAAUUAAAGGAUGAGAAAAACAUUUUUCUGAAGCUUAUACUUUCACAUUUCCUAGAGAGCAUAUUUGUGUGGAUGGGGAUCUGGUGUCAAAAGUGAGGAUCCAAAGUAAAACUCCAGUGACUCUCAGGAUCACCAGGUGACCAGGAGGCAAGGUCCAUAAGGACACUUGAAACUCAUUGCACGUGGUACUCUAUGGAAGGAAGUGUCAAUGAUGUGGAAAACAACUCCGAUAGAGAGAACAUCAUGAGAGCUUGGAAUGAUUACAUCAUUGGCAAUGCCAUCAUUGUUAUAGAAAAGCCAUGAAAGCCAUCAAGCCUGAAACAACAAAUUCCUUCUGGAGAAUACUGUGUAUAGAUGUGCAUGGCUUCACAGGAUUUAUGACUGAGCCAAUCAACGAAAUCAUAAAAGAAGUUGUGCAUAUGGCAAAAAUAAAAAGGUGGGGGUAAAGGGUUUCAAGAUAUGGGUCUUGGAUUAAUUCAGGACCUAAUAAACACCACACCAGAGAAAUUCACAAUGGAUGAUUUGAUGGAGAUGAGUGCUUUCAAACCAGUGCCAGAUGAUGAGGAGGAAGGCAUAGAAGAUGCAGGGCCAGGAAACAAGUUGACUUUAGACACUCUGGGAGGAAGGAUCCAGUUAUUCAAGAAUGCUUUUGACUUCUUUCAUAUGACAUGGACCCUUCUACAAUACAGGCAAUAAGAUUAAAGCAAAUGAUAAAGAAGAAUUAGUACUGUAUAAAAACAUUUUUAGAGAAAUGAGAAGACAGGAAUUCAGAUAGAAAUUAUGAUGUAUUUCUGUAAAGUUACACUGAGUGUGCCUGCUUCUUCUGACUCCUCUUCCAUCUCCUCCAUAUCUUCCACCUCUAUCACCCCUGAGACAACAAGACCAACCCCUUGUCUUCCUCCUCCUCAGCUUAGUUGAUGCGAAAACAACAAGGAUAAAGAUCUUUAUGAUGAUCCACUUCCACUUAAUGAAUAAUAAAUGUAUUUUUUAACUUA
Homo sapiens (human) is the source of this 1198-nucleotide long non-coding RNA. Ensembl annotates it as MIR4458 host gene. The record is from Ensembl. NCBI's taxonomy places the organism in Eukaryota, Metazoa, Chordata, Mammalia, Primates, Hominidae.